Molecule: ribosomal RNA, 1372 nt
Filed under: uncultured bacterium
Lineage: Bacteria
Description: bacterial SSU rRNA
Rfam family: Bacterial small subunit ribosomal RNA
Source: RNAcentral
GAUGAACGCUGGCGGCGUGCCUAAUACAUGCAAGUCGAGCGAACGGACGAGAAGCUUGCUUCUCUGAUGUUAGCGGCGGACGGGUGAGUAACACGUGGAUAACCUACCUAUAAGACUGGGAUAACUUCGGGAAACCGGAGCUAAUACCGGAUGAUAUUUUGAACCGCAUGGUUCAAAAGUGAAAGACGGUCUUGCUGUCACUUAUAGAUGGAUCCGCGCUGCAUUAGCUAGUUGGUAAGGUAACGGCUUACCAAGGCAACGAUGCAUAGCCGACCUGAGAGGGUGAUCGGCCACACUGGAACUGAGACACGGUCCAGACUCCUACGGGAGGCAGCAGUAGGGAAUCUUCCGCAAUGGGCGAAAGCCUGACGGAGCAACGCCGCGUGAGUGAUGAAGGUCUUCGGAUCGUAAAACUCUGUUAUUAGGGAAGAACAUAUGUGUAAGUAACUGUGCACAUCUUGACGGUACCUAAUCAGAAAGCCACGGCUAACUACGUGCCAGCAGCCGCGGUAAUACGUAGGUGGCAAGCGUUAUCCGGAAUUAUUGGGCGUAAAGCGCGCGUAGGCGGUUUUUUAAGUCUGAUGUGAAAGCCCACGGCUCAACCGUGGAGGGUCAUUGGAAACUGGAAAACUUGAGUGCAGAAGAGGAAAGUGGAAUUCCAUGUGUAGCGGUGAAAUGCGCAGAGAUAUGGAGGAACACCAGUGGCGAAGGCGACUUUCUGGUCUGUAACUGACGCUGAUGUGCGAAAGCGUGGGGAUCAAACAGGAUUAGAUACCCUGGUAGUCCACGCCGUAAACGAUGAGUGCUAAGUGUUAGGGGGUUUCCGCCCCUUAGUGCUGCAGCUAACGCAUUAAGCACUCCGCCUGGGGAGUACGACCGCAAGGUUGAAACUCAAAGGAAUUGACGGGGACCCGCACAAGCGGUGGAGCAUGUGGUUUAAUUCGAAGCAACGCGAAGAACCUUACCAAAUCUUGACAUCCUUUGACAACUCUAGAGAUAGAGCCUUCCCCUUCGGGGGACAAAGUGACAGGUGGUGCAUGGUUGUCGUCAGCUCGUGUCGUGAGAUGUUGGGUUAAGUCCCGCAACGAGCGCAACCCUUAAGCUUAGUUGCCAUCAUUAAGUUGGGCACUCUAAGUUGACUGCCGGUGACAAACCGGAGGAAGGUGGGGAUGACGUCAAAUCAUCAUGCCCCUUAUGAUUUGGGCUACACACGUGCUACAAUGGGCAAUACAAAGGGCAGCGAAACCGCGAGGUCAAGCAAAUCCCAUAAAGUUGUUCUCAGUUCGGAUUGUAGUCUGCAACUCGACUACAUGAAGCUGGAAUCGCUAGUAAUCGUAGAUCAGCAUGCUACGGUGAAUACGUUCCCGGGUCU